UUCAGCUGUUCCCGAAAACAACUGAAUUAGUAAGCUGUCAUGGCUUUAUUUGCAAACCGCUCACAGCAACAGUACCUGAAAAUUGAAGUUCUCUGCAAGCCUCUUCGCUGCACUUCAUCCUCGGGGCAGACUAAUUUAAAGCAGGGGGCCUGUGGCUGUCUUACAAGGCACCAAUCUCUGUUGAGAAUUGAUUUUCAUCAUCCCUCCACACCAACAGGCUCAGGUCACAUCCCGGCCUGCCUGAGCAAGAUAACAGUAAAUAAAGUGAUAGCAUUCCAUCUGAUUAUGAGUACUUUGCAAUCUGCGACAGUUUGAUUGAUGCUUCACCUCCAUGAGCAGAAUUUUGAGCAGCACCUCCUUGAAGCAGCCCGUUAUGUGUCUGCAAGCUGGUAACCUUGAAUUUAUGUUACCAGGGCAACAGAGCUGGUCAUGCAUUAUGGAUUAUCAUUGAAAUUCUACACCACCUACCUAACAUAAUAAUGGGGACUUGAGACUUAAUCAAAUCAGCCAAUCCGUGCGGAUGCUUGUGCCUUUAUAUAUAAGUGAUCGUAAUAUCAUUCUGUAUGAUUGAUAUUUAAAUGUAUAUGUUUAUUUGUGUUUGUCUCACAGUAUGUGUAAACAUACACACACUGAUAGUCUUUCCAUAAAAUACAAAGACAACCGGCAGCUGGUAAAACAUUUCCAAGCUGCUCAGUUUGUCCAUGUGGGUGAAUGAGAUCUAAAUCUGAGGUGUUAAACCUGUUUCUACUUUGAACGGGCCGCCCACAGUUCUUUCACUGACCAUCUGACUGCCGAAUUUAGCAACUUCACAUGGUGAGAUUUGUUUCAUCAAUCCACCUGGAAACAAAUUCAUGUUUGGAAGGAGUUGAAAACAACUGAGGAGCUCAGAUGCAAAAGCCUCUAAACGCCACUUCUGUCAAAAAUGAGGUAAUGUUACAGAAUGCUUAUUAUUAUAUAAUAAGUAUAAUACGUUCAUUAAAUACCUUUGCUUCAAAUGCGCUUAAUCCUGGCCUCAUUUAAGGUCAUUUAAAAACGUUCUAAGGGAAUCUGCAAGACGUUUGAAUUGUUUUCAAACAGACGGAGCGUAGCUAACUCCU
Non-coding RNA from Paramisgurnus dabryanus, 1097 nucleotides. The record is from RefSeq and is a predicted model, not a curated record. NCBI's taxonomy places the organism in Eukaryota, Metazoa, Chordata, Actinopteri, Cypriniformes, Cobitidae.